This 306-nucleotide long non-coding RNA is filed under the name Homarus americanus (American lobster). Its description in RNAcentral is "uncharacterized LOC121868111, transcript variant X3". The record is from RNAcentral. Lineage: Eukaryota; Metazoa; Arthropoda; Malacostraca; Decapoda; Nephropidae.
GGAGGUAGUCAGUAGCAGGUGAUGAGUGUUGAGGAGGUAGUCAGUAGCAGGUGAUGAGUGUUGAGGAGGUAGUCAGUAGCAGGUGAUGAGUGUUGAGGAGGUAGUCAGUAGCAGGUGAUGAGUGUUGAGGAGGUAGUCAGUAGCAGGUGAUGAGUGUUGAGGAGGUAGUCAGUAGCAGGUGAUGAGUGUUGAGGAGGUAGUCAGCAGCAGGUGAUGAGUGUUGAGGAGGUAGUCAGUAGCAGGUGAUGAGUGUUGAGGAGGUAGUCAGUAGCAGGUGAUGAGUGUUGAGGAGGUAGUCAGUAGCAG